GACGAACGCUGGCGGCGUGCUUAACACAUGCAAGUCGAACGGAAAGGCCCUGCUUUUGUGGGGUGCUCGAGUGGCGAACGGGUGAGUAACACGUGAGUAACCUGCCCUUGACUUUGGGAUAACUUCAGGAAACUGGGGCUAAUACCGGAUAGGAGCUCCUGCUGCAUGGUGGGGGUUGGAAAGUUUCGGCGGUUGGAGAUGGACUCGCGGCUUAUCAGCUUGUUGGUGGGGUAGUGGCUUACCAAGGCUUUGACGGGUAGCCGGCCUGAGAGGGUGACCGGCCACAUUGGGACUGAGAUACGGCCCAGACUCCUACGGGAGGCAGCAGUGGGGAAUAUUGCACAAUGGGCGGAAGCCUGAUGCAGCAACGCCGCGUGCGGGAUGACGGCCUUCGGGUUGUAAACCGCUUUCGCCUGUGACGAAGCGUGAGUGACGGUAAUGGGUAAAGAAGCACCGGCUAACUACGUGCCAGCAGCCGCGGUGAUACGUAGGGUGCGAGCGUUGUCCGGAUUUAUUGGGCGUAAAGGGCUCGUAGGUGGUUGAUCGCGUCGGAAGUGUAAUCUUGGGGCUUAACCCUGAGCGUGCUUUCGAUACGGGUUGACUUGAGGAAGGUAGGGGAGAAUGGAAUUCCUGGUGGAGCGGUGGAAUGCGCAGAUAUCAGGAGGAACACCAGUGGCGAAGGCGGUUCUCUGGGCCUUUCCUGACGCUGAGGAGCGAAAGCGUGGGGAGCGAACAGGCUUAGAUACCCUGGUAGUCCACGCUGUAAACGGUGGGUACUAGGUGUGGGGUCCAUUCCACGGGUUCCGUGCCGUAGCUAACGCUUUAAGUACCCCGCCUGGGGAGUACGGCCGCAAGGCUAAAACUCAAAGGAAUUGACGGGGCCCCGCACAAGCGGCGGAGCAUGCGGAUUAAUUCGAUGCAACGCGUAGAACCUUACCUGGGUUUGACAUGGAUCGGGAGUGCUCAGAGAUGGGUGUGCCUCUUUUGGGGUCGGUUCACAGGUGGUGCAUGGCUGUCGUCAGCUCGUGUCGUGAGAUGUUGGGUUAAGUCCCGCAACGAGCGCAACCCUUGUUCACUGUUGCCAGCACGUUAUGGUGGGGACUCAGUGGAGACCACCGGGGUCAACUCGGAGGAAGGUGGGGAUGACGUCGAGUCAUCAUGCCCCUUAUGUCCAGGGCUUCACGCAUGCUACAAUGGCUGGUACAGAGAGUGGCGAGCCUGUGAGGGUGAGCGAAUCUCGGAAAGCCGGUCUCAGUUCGGAUUGGGGUCUGCAACUCGACCUCAUGAAGUCGGAGUCGCUAGUAAUCGCAGAUCAGCAACGCUGCGGUGAAUACGUUCCCGGG
Molecule: ribosomal RNA, 1343 nt
Filed under: uncultured bacterium
Lineage: Bacteria
Description: 16S ribosomal RNA
Rfam family: Bacterial small subunit ribosomal RNA
Source: RNAcentral